UACGGAGGGUGCGAGCGUUGUCCGGAAUCACUGGGCGUAAAGGGCGCGUAGGCGGCACUGUUAGUCAGGCGUGAAAGUCCUGGGCUCAACCUGGGAACUGCGCUUGAUACGGCAGAGCUAGAGUGUGGCAGAGGGGGGUGGAAUUCCGCGUGUAGCAGUGAAAUGCGUAGAGAUGCGGAGGAACACCGAUGGCGAAGGCAGCCCCCUGGGCUGACACUGACGCUCAGGCACGAAAGCGUGGGGAGCAAACAGG
Molecule: ribosomal RNA, 253 nt
Filed under: uncultured bacterium
Lineage: Bacteria
Description: partial 16S ribosomal RNA
Rfam family: Bacterial small subunit ribosomal RNA
Source: RNAcentral